GGAAUCUGGGAGGACCAUCUCCUAAGGCUAAAUACUCUCUAGUGACCGAUAGUGAACCAGUACCGUGAGGGAAAGGUGAAAAGCACCCCGGAAGGGGAGUGAAAUAGAACCUGAAACCGUGUGCUUACAAGUAGUCAGAGCCCGUUAAUGGGUGAUGGCGUGCCUUUUGUAGAAUGAACCGGCGAGUUACGAUUUGAUGCAAGGUUAAGCAGUAAAUGUGGAGCCGUAGCGAAAGCGAGUCUGAAUAGGGCGUUUAGUAUUUGGUCGUAGACCCGAAACCAGGUGAUCUACCCUUGGUCAGGUUGAAGUUCAGGUAACACUGAAUGGAGGACCGAACCGACUUACGUUGAAAAGUGAGCGGAUGAACUGAGGGUAGCGGAGAAAUUCCAAUCGAACCUGGAGAUAGCUGGUUCUCUCCGAAAUAGCUUUAGGGCUAGCCUCAAGUGAUGAUUAUUGGAGGUAGAGCACUGUUUGGACGAGGGGCCCCUCUCGGGUUACCGAAUUCAGACAAACUCCGAAUGCCAAUUAAUUUAACUUGGGAGUCAGAACAUGGGUGAUAAGGUCCGUGUUCGAAAGGGAAACAGCCCAGACCACCAGCUAAGGUCCCAAAAUAUA
Molecule: ribosomal RNA, 615 nt
Filed under: Staphylococcus aureus
Lineage: Bacteria; Bacillati; Bacillota; Bacilli; Caryophanales; Staphylococcaceae
Description: partial 23S ribosomal RNA
Rfam family: Bacterial large subunit ribosomal RNA
Source: RNAcentral